CAGGGACAGCAAAGGGAUGA
This 20-nucleotide microRNA is filed under the name Ornithorhynchus anatinus (platypus). RNAcentral's name for it is "oan-miR-204-3p". Its record names the gene oan-miR-204-3p. Lineage: Eukaryota; Metazoa; Chordata; Mammalia; Monotremata; Ornithorhynchidae. The record is from miRBase by way of RNAcentral.